GAGACCAAGAACUGGCACACGGACGUGAUUGAGAUGAACGGGGUGAGCCGGGGAUGGGAAUGAUCAGUGGGGUGAGCCGGGAGGUGGAACGUCUGUGCAGCAGAUCAAAGUGGAAUUUUCCAUGAAAUUCACCAGCCGAGAUAUGAGCCUGAAGAGGACCCCGUCCAAAAAGCAGACCGGCGUCUUCGGUGUGAAGAUCAGCGUGGUGACUAAGCGGGAGCGCUCCAAGGUGCCCUACAUCGUCCGGCAGUGCGUGGAGGAGGUGGAGAAGAGGGGUAUCGAGGAGGUUGGCAUCUACAGGAUAUCGGGCGUGGCCACGGACAUCCAGGCGCUCAAGGCCGUCUUCGAUGCCAAUAACAAGGACAUCCUGCUGAUGCUGAGUGACAUGGACAUCAACGCCAUCGCCGGGACGCUCAAGCUCUACUUCCGGGAACUGCCCGAGCCGCUCCUCACGGACCGACUCUACCCAGCCUUCAUGGAGGGCAUCGCCCUGUCAGACCCUGCUGCCAAGGAAAACUGCAUGAUGCACCUGCUCCGCUCCCUGCCCGACCCCAACC
This 557-nucleotide small RNA is filed under the name Pan troglodytes (chimpanzee). RNAcentral describes it as "processed transcript". The record is from RNAcentral. Lineage: Eukaryota; Metazoa; Chordata; Mammalia; Primates; Hominidae.